This 253-nucleotide ribosomal RNA is filed under the name uncultured bacterium. Its description in RNAcentral is "partial 16S ribosomal RNA". It matches the Rfam family "Bacterial small subunit ribosomal RNA", at positions 524 to 776 of the family's 1533-position model. The record is from RNAcentral.
UACGAAGGGGACUAGCGUUGUUCGGAAUUACUGGGCGUAAAGCGCACGUAGGCGGAUUUGUUAGUCAGGGGUGAAAUCCCGGGGCUCAACCUCGGAACUGCCUUUGAUACUGCAAGUCUCGAGUCCGAUAGAGGUGGGUGGAAUUCCUAGUGUAGAGGUGAAAUUCGUAGAUAUUAGGAAGAACACCGGUGGCGAAGGCGGCCCACUGGAUCGGUACUGACGCUUAGGUGCGAAAGCGUGGGGAGCAAACAGG